GACAGAGGUCAGGUUAGACAGAGGUCAGGUUAGGCAGAGGUCAGGUUAGACAGAGGUCAGGUUAGACAGAGGUCAGGUUAGGCAGAGGUCAGGUUAGGCAGAGGUCAGGUUAGGCAGAGGUCAGGUUAGGCAGAGGUCAGGUUAGACAGAGG
Long non-coding RNA from Oncorhynchus keta (chum salmon), 152 nucleotides. RefSeq lists it as uncharacterized. The record is from RefSeq and is a predicted model, not a curated record. The transcript is spliced from 3 exons. Lineage: Eukaryota; Metazoa; Chordata; Actinopteri; Salmoniformes; Salmonidae.